RNAcentral lists this ribosomal RNA (472 nucleotides) under uncultured bacterium. RNAcentral's name for it is "partial 16S ribosomal RNA". It matches the Rfam family "Bacterial small subunit ribosomal RNA", at positions 28 to 507 of the family's 1533-position model. The record is from RNAcentral.
GACGAACGCUGGCGGCGUGCUUAACACAUGCAAGUCGAACGCUGAAGCUUGGUGCUUGCACUGGGUGGAUGAGUGGCGAACGGGUGAGUAAUACGUGAGUAACCUGCCCUUGACUCUGGGAUAAGCCUGGGAAACUGGGUCUAAUACUGGAUACGACAUGUCACCGCAUGGUGGUGUGUGGAAAGGGUUUUACUGGUUUUGGAUGGGCUCACGGCCUAUCAGCUUGUUGGUGGGGUAAUGGCUCACCAAGGCGACGACGGGUAGCCGGCCUGAGAGGGUGACCGGCCACACUGGGACUGAGACACGGCCCAGACUCCUACGGGAGGCAGCAGUGGGGAAUAUUGCACAAUGGGCGAAAGCCUGAUGCAGCGACGCCGCGUGAGUGAUGACGGCCUUCGGGUUGUAAACCUCUUUCAGCACGGAAGAAGCGAAAGUGACGGUACGUGCAGAAGAAGCGCCGGCUAACUACGUG